CGUCCUUGUGUGACGCACACGACAGCACAACGUCCAAGCCAUGGGUGUGCACUCGGCAAUCUGCUCUCUCGCAGCAGUCAAGGAAAUGCUUCGAAAUCGUUCUUGUGGAGGAAAAUAUGGCUGGCGUUCACGCUGUGAUGCUGCUGAUUGGAUUGUUGGUGACCACUUGUGAGAAGAGCUUCCAAGCCGGUGGAUGGACAGAGAUCAGACAACCGGAUACACACUGGGGCCGCGCAAUGGCGGAAUACGCAUACCGGAGUAAAAAUCGCCAUAUAGGAGGAAGCAUCGUAGUUUUCAUAACGCAAGCCAGACACAGGGCCAUGGCGGGGACACAGUACCAAUUUGGAUUCAUUGUCUUCAUAAAUGGAGUGAUGAAGGAGAAAUGCAUUACCACUCUCUCUGUGCCCCCUAUUGAAACUCCUCGAAGGAAAGCGACCGUCACGAGGUUAUGGUGCAGAUAAAGUAUCCCAGAGAUGUUUUCCGCAAGAAUAUGUCAUGAGUACUGACAUCUCCGCUGGCCAAAAUGACUAUUGACAAUUUACUAAUUAUGUAAUCAAAAGUAGUAGAGUGAAUGGUAGGUAUUAGAAGUAUGCACAAAUUACAAUAUUAUUUGUCCUUUUACGAUACGAAACCAUGUGCUAAUGUGGCACACCGUAGAGAAGGGUUCUGAAAAUUUUGGCCAUCUGUGGUUCCCACAGUACAAAGACCUCUGCCACCAGGCUGCUACUGAAGUGUCUCCACCAGGGUUAUGAUGGAAACCAUGACCUUUCCGCUAGCAGCCGAGCAGCAUAACGACUUGCAGAAACUCAGUUGGUUUAGCAUGCACGCAUCUCUGUGGUUAACACACUCAACGUCGAAAAAAUUAUUAUAUGUUUUUUAAUGUAUCACUAUUUGUUGACAAUGAUGUCAUCGGGGAGCAGAGGGACGGACGAAAGAAUGAAGAUACAAUGUUUAUCCUGGAUGCUACAAAGCAGUGCUUGCCUAUAUAGAUGUAAGCAAUGGAACCACGCAAUUAACAGCGGUUACGUUAGUCAUGCGUUGUUCAAAGGCAAUAAAAUAGAUGUGCUUUGUUUGCUCUUUAGCUAUGCUUUUCCGACAAAACAUUCUUCAAAAUGGUGACAUUGUGAUAACCUCUUGCAUACUACGCUACUCGUUUGUGAAAGCUUUGGUGAUAUAUUUUUAUCACGAACAGCUGGCUUCAACGUGUAUAGCUGCCCGAAUGAUUGUGUAUUCCAUAAAUGUUGUAUAUUUAGGGGCUCAGCAGCAGGUGUUUUUUUUUUCAACCUGCCAUUUAGUUUGGCGCUUGUACUGUCUGCAUACUUCUAACAUGAUUGAAAACGAGUCGGGUGCAACUCUUGUUUCUUCAAUGUGUCAGAACGUUUUUCCGAACUAUUUUGUAUAUCAAAUAAUGUGUAAUGCAGUAGCUUAGAAUUUCUGAUAAGAAUCUUGCCAUGUGAAGUAAACUUACUGAUUAAUAAAAAUAUAAA
Molecule: long non-coding RNA, 1487 nt
Organism: Rhipicephalus microplus (southern cattle tick)
Lineage: Eukaryota; Metazoa; Arthropoda; Arachnida; Ixodida; Ixodidae
Source: RefSeq, a predicted model, not a curated record